Molecule: ribosomal RNA, 253 nt
Filed under: uncultured bacterium
Lineage: Bacteria
Description: partial 16S ribosomal RNA
Rfam family: Bacterial small subunit ribosomal RNA
Source: RNAcentral
UACAGAGGUCUCAAGCGUUGUUCGGAUUCAUUGGGCGUAAAGGGUGCGUAGGCGGCGCGGUAAGUCCGGUGUGAAAUCUCGGGGCUUAACUCCGAAACUGCAUUCGAUACUGCCGUGCUUGAGGACUGGAGAGGAGACUGGAAUUUACGGUGUAGCGGUGAAAUGCGUAGAUAUCGUAAGGAAGACCAGUGGCGAAGGCGGGUCUCUGGACAGUUCCUGACGCUGAGGAGCGAAAGCGUGGGGAGCGAACAGG